GACGAACGCUGGCGGCGUGCUUAACACAUGCCAGUCGAACGCGCCUGUCCUCUGGGUUUCUGGGGGGUGGGUGAGUGGCGAACGGGUGAGUAACACGUGAGUAACCUGCCCCCUUCUUCGGGAUAACGGUCUGAAAGGGCUGCUAAUACCGGGUAUUCACUGGUCUCCGCAUGGGGUCUGGUGGAAAGGUUUUUUUCUGGUGGGGGAUGGGCUCGCGGCCUAUCAGCUUGUUGGUGGGGUGAUGGCCCACCAAGGCUUUGACGGGUAGCCGGCCUGAGAGGGUGACCGGUCACAUUGGGACUGAGAUACGGCCCAGACUCCUACGGGAGGCAGCAGUGGGGAAUAUUGCACAAUGGGCGCAAGCCUGAUGCAGCGACGCCGCGUGAGGGAUGGAGGCCUUCGGGUUGCGAACCUCUUUCGCCCGUGGUCAAGCCGCGACGUGGGUCGUGGUGAGGGUAGUGGGUAAAGAAGCGCCGGCUAACUACGUG
RNAcentral lists this ribosomal RNA (488 nucleotides) under uncultured bacterium. RNAcentral's name for it is "partial 16S ribosomal RNA". It matches the Rfam family "Bacterial small subunit ribosomal RNA", at positions 28 to 507 of the family's 1533-position model. The record is from RNAcentral.